Molecule: ribosomal RNA, 424 nt
Filed under: Fusobacteriota bacterium
Lineage: Bacteria; Fusobacteriati; Fusobacteriota
Description: Fusobacteria bacterium partial 16S ribosomal RNA
Rfam family: Bacterial small subunit ribosomal RNA
Source: RNAcentral
UGAGGAAUAUUGGUCAAUGGUCGAGAGACUGAACCAGCCAAGUCGCGUGAAGGAUGACUGCCCUAUGGGUUGUAAACUUCUUUUACAAGGGAAUAAAAUGAGAUACGUGUAUUUUAUUGCAUGUACCUUGUGAAUAAGCAUCGGCUAACUCCGUGCCAGCAGCCGCGGUAAUACGGAGGAUGCGAGCGUUAUCCGGAUUUAUUGGGUUUAAAGGGUGCGUAGGUGGGCUGUUAAGUCAGCGGUGAAAGUUUGUCGCUUAACGAUAAAAUUGCCGUUGAAACUGGUAGUCUUGAGUAUAGAUGAAGUAGGCGGAAUGCGUGGUGAAGCGGUGAAAUGCAUAGAGAUCACGCAGAACUCCGAUUGCGAAGGCAGCUUACUAAGGUAUAACUGACACUGAAGCACGAAAGCGUGGGUAUCAAACAGG